This 247-nucleotide ribosomal RNA is filed under the name uncultured bacterium. RNAcentral describes it as "partial 16S ribosomal RNA". It matches the Rfam family "Bacterial small subunit ribosomal RNA", at positions 523 to 769 of the family's 1533-position model. The record is from RNAcentral.
AAACGUAGGAGGCAAGCGUUAUCCGGAUUUAUUGGGCGUAAAGCGCGUGCAGGCUGUUUGGAAAGUUGGAUGUGAAAGCUCCUGGCUUAACUGGGAGAGGUCGUUCAAAACUACCAAACUAGAGAAUGGGAGAGGGAAGUGGAAUUCCGGGUGUAGUGGUGAAAUGCGUAGAUAUCCGGAGGAACACCAGUGGCGAAAGCGGCUUCCUGGACCAUUUCUGACGCUUAGACGCGAAAGCUAGGGGAGC